This 604-nucleotide ribosomal RNA is filed under the name uncultured bacterium. Its description in RNAcentral is "bacterial SSU rRNA". It matches the Rfam family "Bacterial small subunit ribosomal RNA", at positions 338 to 944 of the family's 1533-position model. The record is from RNAcentral.
CCUACGGGAGGCAGCAGUGAGGAAUAUUGGACAAUGGGCGCAAGCCUGAUCCAGCCAUGCCGCGUGCAGGAAGACGGUCCUAUGGAUUGUAAACUGCUUUUAUACAGGAAGAAACACCUCUACGUGUAGAGACUUGACGGUACUGUAUGAAUAAGCAUCGGCUAACUCCGUGCCAGCAGCCGCGGUAAUACGGAGGAUGCAAGCGUUAUCCGGAAUCAUUGGGUUUAAAGGGUCCGUAGGCGGUUUAAUAAGUCAGUGGUGAAAGCCCAUCGCUCAACGAUGGAACGGCCAUUGAUACUGUUAAACUUGAAUUAUUAGGAAGUAACUAGAAUAUGUAGUGUAGCGGUGAAAUGCUUAGAGAUUACAUGGAAUACCAAUUGCGAAGGCAGGUUACUACUAAUAUAUUGACGCUGAUGGACGAAAGCGUGGGGAGCGAACAGGAUUAGAUACCCUGGUAGUCCACGCCGUAAACGAUGGAUACUAGCUGUUCGGAGCAAUCUGAGUGGCUAAGCGAAAGUGAUAAGUAUCCACCUGGGGAGUACGUUGCAGAAUUGAAACUUCAAGGAUUGACGGCUUGAGACGNGCGAGCGCGACGAGGAGGAGG